RNAcentral lists this ribosomal RNA (797 nucleotides) under Bacillus sp. Mc5Re-15. RNAcentral's name for it is "bacterial SSU rRNA". It matches the Rfam family "Bacterial small subunit ribosomal RNA", at positions 548 to 1344 of the family's 1533-position model. Lineage: Bacteria; Bacillati; Bacillota; Bacilli; Caryophanales; Bacillaceae. The record is from RNAcentral.
GAAUUAUUGGGCGUAAAAGGGCUCGCAGGCGGUUUCUUAAGUCUGAUGUGAAAGCCCCCGGCUCAACCGGGGAGGGUCAUUGGAAACUGGGGAACUUGAGUGCAGAAGAGGAGAGUGGAAUUCCACGUGUAGCGGUGAAAUGCGUAGAGAUGUGGAGGAACACCAGUGGCGAAGGCGACUCUCUGGUCUGUAACUGACGCUGAGGAGCGAAAGCGUGGGGAGCGAACAGGAUUAGAUACCCUGGUAGUCCACGCCGUAAACGAUGAGUGCUAAGUGUUAGGGGGUUUCCGCCCCUUAGUGCUGCAGCUAACGCAUUAAGCACUCCGCCUGGGGAGUACGGUCGCAAGACUGAAACUCAAAGGAAUUGACGGGGGCCCGCACAAGCGGUGGAGCAUGUGGUUUAAUUCGAAGCAACGCGAAGAACCUUACCAGGUCUUGACAUCCUCUGACAAUCCUAGAGAUAGGACGUCCCCUUCGGGGGCAGAGUGACAGGUGGUGCAUGGUUGUCGUCAGCUCGUGUCGUGAGAUGUUGGGUUAAGUCCCGCAACGAGCGCAACCCUUGAUCUUAGUUGCCAGCAUUCAGUUGGGCACUCUAAGGUGACUGCCGGUGACAAACCGGAGGAAGGUGGGGAUGACGUCAAAUCAUCAUGCCCCUUAUGACCUGGGCUACACACGUGCUACAAUGGACAGAACAAAGGGCAGCGAAACCGCGAGGUUAAGCCAAUCCCACAAAUCUGUUCUCAGUUCGGAUCGCAGUCUGCAACUCGACUGCGUGAAGCUGGAAUCGCUAGUAAUCG